UACGUAGGGCGCAAGCGUUGUCCGGAAUUAUUGGGCGUAAAGCGCGCGCAGGUGGUUUCUUAAGUCUGAUGUGAAAGCCCACGGCUCAACCGUGGAGGGUCAUUGGAAACUGGGAGACUUGAGUGCAGAAGAGGAAAGUGGAAUUCCAUGUGUAGCGGUGAAAUGCGUAGAGAUAUGGAGGAACACCAGUGGCGAAGGCGACUUUCUGGUCUGUAACUGACACUGAGGCGCGAAAGCGUGGGGAGCAAACAGG
RNAcentral lists this ribosomal RNA (253 nucleotides) under uncultured bacterium. RNAcentral describes it as "partial 16S ribosomal RNA". It matches the Rfam family "Bacterial small subunit ribosomal RNA", at positions 524 to 776 of the family's 1533-position model. The record is from RNAcentral.